GACGAACGCUGGCGGCGUGCUUAACACAUGCAAGUCGAACGGUAAGGCCCUUCGGGGUACACGAGUGGCGAACGGGUGAGUAACACGUGGGUGAUCUGCCCUGCACUUCGGGAUAAGCCUGGGAAACUGGGUCUAAUACCGGAUAGGACCAUGGACUUCACGGUUUGUGGUGGAAAGCUUUUGCGGUGUGGGAUGGGCCCGCGGCCUAUCAGCUUGUUGGUGGGGUAAUGGCCUACCAAGGCGACGACGGGUAGCCGGCCUGAGAGGGUGUCCGGCCACACUGGGACUGAGAUACGGCCCAGACUCCUACGGGAGGCAGCAGUGGGGAAUAUUGCACAAUGGGCGCAAGCCUGAUGCAGCGACGCCGCGUGAGGGAUGACGGGCC
RNAcentral lists this ribosomal RNA (385 nucleotides) under uncultured bacterium. Its description in RNAcentral is "bacterial SSU rRNA". It matches the Rfam family "Bacterial small subunit ribosomal RNA", at positions 28 to 417 of the family's 1533-position model. The record is from RNAcentral.